GAAAUCCUGUCUGAAUAUGGGGGGACCAUCCUCCAAGGCUAAAUACUCGUAAUCGACCGAUAGUGAACAAGUACCGUGAGGGAAAGGCGAAAAGAACCCCGGGAGGGGAGUGAAAUAGAUCCUGAAAUCGCAUGCAUACAAACAGUAGGAGCCCCGUAAGGGGUGACUGCGUACCUUUUGUAUAAUGGGUCAGCGACUUACAUUCAGUAGCAAGCUUAACCGCAUAGGGAAGGCGUAGCGAAAGCGAGUCCGAAUAGGGCGUUAGUUGCUGGGUGUAGACCCGAAACCAGUUGAUCUAUCCAUGGCCAGGUUGAAGGUGCGGUAACACGUACUGGAGGACCGAACCCACUAACGUUGAAAAGUUAGGGGAUGAGCUGUGGAUAGGGGUGAAAGGCUAAACAAAACUGGAAAUAGCUGGUUCUCUCCGAAAACUAUUUAGGUAGUGCCUCGUGUAUCACCAAAGGGGGUAGAGCACUGUAAUGGUUGUGGGGUCCAUUGCGGAUUACCGCGCCAUAGCAAACUCCGAAUACCUUUGAGUGUCAGCACGGGAGACAGACAUCGGGUGCUAACGUCCGGUGUCAAGAGGGAAACAACCCAGAUCGCCAGCUAAGGUCCCUAAAAUUGGCUAAGUGGGAAACGAAGUGGGAAGGCUAAAACAGUCAGGAGGUUGGCUUAGAAGCAGCCACCCUUUAAAGAAAGCGUAAUAGCUCACUGAUCGAGUCGUCCCGCGCGGAAGAUGUAACGGGGCUAAGCCAGUUACCGAAGCUGCGAAUCACGUAAGUGAUGGUAGGAGAGCGUUCUGUAAGCCUGCGAAGGUGUGUUGUAAAGCAUGCUGGAGGUAUCAGAAGUGCGAAUGCUGACAUGAGUAGCGAUAAAGGGGGUGAAAAGCCCCCUCGCCGUAAGCCCAAGGUUUCCUACGCAACGUUCAUCGGCGUAGGGUGAGUCGGCCCCUAAGGCGAGGCAGAGAUGCGUAGCUGAUGGGAACAAGGUUAAUAUUCCUUGACCGUCGUUAGAUGCGAUGGGGGGACGGAUCGCGGAGAGUUGUCCGGGUGUUGGAUGUCCCGGUUCCUGCAUUGGAGAUGGCUAUUAGGUAAAUCCGGUAGCGUAAAUCAAGGGUGUGGGACGAGUGAGCUUGCUCACGAAGCAAUUGGAAGUGGUUCCAAGAAAAGCCUCUAAGCUUCAGUCUAACGAGACCGUACCGCAAACCGACACAGGUGGGCGAGAUGAGUAUUCUAAGGCGCUUGAGAGAACUCAGGAGAAGGAACUCGGCAAAUUGGUACCGUAACUUCGGGAUAAGGUACGCCCAAGUAGCUUAACUGUGAACAACAGAAGGGCAAAAGGGUUGCAAUAAAAUGGUGGCUGCGACUGUUUAAUAAAAACACAGCACUCUGCAAACACGAAAGUGGACGUAUAGGGUGUGACGCCUGCCCGGUGCUGGAAGAUUAAAUGAUGGGGUGCAAGCUCUUGAUUGAAGUCCCAGUAAACGGCGGCCGUAACUAUAACGGUCCUAAGGUAGCGAAAUUCCUUGUCGGGUAAGUUCCGACCUGCACGAAUGGCGUAACGAUGGCCACACUGUCUCCUCCUGAGACUCAGCGAAGUUGAAAUGUUUGUGAUGAUGCAAUCUACCCGCGGCUAGACGGAAAGACCCCAUGAACCUUUACUGUAGCUUUGCAUUGGACUUUGAAUCGGUCUGUGUAGGAUAGGUGGGAGGCUUUGAAACCAGGAUGCUAGUUCUGGUGGAGCCAACCUUGAAAUACCACCCUGAUUUAUUUGAGGUUCUAACCUUGGCCCGUUAUCCGGGUCGGGAACAGUGCAUGGUAGGCAGUUUGACUGGGGCGGUCUCCUCCCAAAGUGUAACGGAGGAGUACGAAGGUACGCUUGGCACGGUCGGACAUCGUGCCUAAAGUGCAAUGGCAAAAGCGUGCUUAACUGCGAGACCGACAAGUCGAGCAGGUGCGAAAGCAGGUCAUAGUGAUCCGGUGGUUCUGUAUGGAAGGGCCAUCGCUCAACGGAUAAAAGGUACUCUGGGGAUAACAGGCUGAUACCGCCCAAGAGUUCAUAUCGACGGCGGUGUUUGGCACCUCGAUGUCGGCUCAU
This 2097-nucleotide ribosomal RNA is filed under the name freshwater metagenome. RNAcentral's name for it is "bacterial LSU rRNA". It matches the Rfam family "Bacterial large subunit ribosomal RNA", at positions 428 to 2540 of the family's 2925-position model. The record is from RNAcentral.